AGCGGAAGUAGUUGUGGGCGCCUUUGCAACCGCCUGGGACGCCGCCGAGUAGUCUGUGCAGGUUCGCGGGUCGCUGGCGGGGGUCGUGAGGGAGUGCGCCGGGAGCGGAGAUAUGGAGGGAGAUGGUUCAGACCCAGAGCCUCCAGAUGCCGGGGAGGACAGCAAGUCGGAGAAUGGGGAGAAUGCGCCCAUCUACUGCAUCUGCCGCAAACCGGACAUAAACUGCUUCAUGAUCGGGUGUGACAACUGCAAUGAGUGGUUCCAUGGGGACUGCAUCCGGAUCACUGAGAAGAUGGCCAAGGCCAUCCGGGAGUGGUACUGUCGGGAGUGCAGAGAGAAGGACCCCAAGCUAGAGAUUCGCUAUCGGCACAAGAAGUCACGGGAGCGGGAUGGCAAUGAGCGGGACAGCAGUGAGCCCCGGGAUGAGGGUGGAGGGCGCAAGAGGCCUGUCCCCGAUCCAGACCUGCAGCGCCGGGCAGGGUCAGGGACAGGGGUUGGGGCCAUGCUUGCUCGGGGCUCUGCUUCGCCCCACAAAUCCUCUCCGCAGCCCUUGGUGGCCACACCCAGCCAGGUGAGUGGCUGCAUAAAGUGAGUGGAUGUGUAAAGUGGUUCCGUUUCAGCCUUGCCUGGGUCCAUGAUUUCUGUUUUGGGCCCCCUCCUCCAGCAUCACCAGCAGCAGCAGCAGAUCAAACGGUCAGCCCGCAUGUGUGGUGAGUGUGAGGCAUGUCGGCGCACUGAGGACUGUGGUCACUGUGACUUCUGUCGGGACAUGAAGAAGUUUGGGGG
This 786-nucleotide small RNA is filed under the name Pongo abelii (Sumatran orangutan). RNAcentral describes it as "retained intron". Lineage: Eukaryota; Metazoa; Chordata; Mammalia; Primates; Hominidae. The record is from RNAcentral.